Molecule: long non-coding RNA, 339 nt
Organism: Alosa alosa (allis shad)
Lineage: Eukaryota; Metazoa; Chordata; Actinopteri; Clupeiformes; Clupeidae
Exons: 2
Source: RefSeq, a predicted model, not a curated record
UCUCUCACUUUUUCUAUCUUCAGGCUCUUCAAGUUGCACAACAACAACAACAACAACAACAACAACAACAACAACAACAACAACAACAACAACAACAACAACAACAACAACAACAACAACAACAACAACAACAACAACAACAACAACAACAACAACAACAACAACAACAACAACAAGGGAGGGAAGUCCCCUAGGGCCCCUGAGGCAGAGGCAGACACACAGGUCCCGGCAGCACUGGCCCUAAUGAGUCCACAGCUGGUCACGGUGCAGCAGAUGCAGCAGUUGCUUCAGCAGCAGGUCCUGAACCCCCAACAGCUGCAGGCCCUGCUCCAACAGCAA